This 253-nucleotide ribosomal RNA is filed under the name uncultured bacterium. RNAcentral describes it as "partial 16S ribosomal RNA". It matches the Rfam family "Bacterial small subunit ribosomal RNA", at positions 524 to 776 of the family's 1533-position model. The record is from RNAcentral.
UACGUAGGGGGCAAGCGUUGUCCGGAUUUAUUGGGUUUAAAGGGUGCGUAGGCGGCUUUGUAAGUCAGUGGUGAAAUAUGGCAGCUCAACUGUCAGGGUGCCAUUGAUACUGCAGAGCUUGAGUACAGAUGAGGUAGGCGGAAUUGACGGUGUAGCGGUGAAAUGCUUAGAUAUCGUCAAGAACACCUAUAGCGAAGGCAGCUUACUAGGCUGUAACUGACGCUGAGGCACGAAAGUGUGGGGAUCAAACAGG